Molecule: ribosomal RNA, 1547 nt
Filed under: Enterococcus faecium EnGen0022
Lineage: Bacteria; Bacillati; Bacillota; Bacilli; Lactobacillales; Enterococcaceae
Description: bacterial SSU rRNA
Rfam family: Bacterial small subunit ribosomal RNA
Source: RNAcentral
AGAGUUUGAUCCUGGCUCAGGACGAACGCUGGCGGCGUGCCUAAUACAUGCAAGUCGAACGCUUCUUUUUCCACCGGAGCUUGCUCCACCGGAAAAAGAGGAGUGGCGAACGGGUGAGUAACACGUGGGUAACCUGCCCAUCAGAAGGGGAUAACACUUGGAAACAGGUGCUAAUACCGUAUAACAAUCGAAACCGCAUGGUUUUGAUUUGAAAGGCGCUUUCGGGUGUCGCUGAUGGAUGGACCCGCGGUGCAUUAGCUAGUUGGUGAGGUAACGGCUCACCAAGGCCACGAUGCAUAGCCGACCUGAGAGGGUGAUCGGCCACAUUGGGACUGAGACACGGCCCAAACUCCUACGGGAGGCAGCAGUAGGGAAUCUUCGGCAAUGGACGAAAGUCUGACCGAGCAACGCCGCGUGAGUGAAGAAGGUUUUCGGAUCGUAAAACUCUGUUGUUAGAGAAGAACAAGGAUGAGAGUAACUGUUCAUCCCUUGACGGUAUCUAACCAGAAAGCCACGGCUAACUACGUGCCAGCAGCCGCGGUAAUACGUAGGUGGCAAGCGUUGUCCGGAUUUAUUGGGCGUAAAGCGAGCGCAGGCGGUUUCUUAAGUCUGAUGUGAAAGCCCCCGGCUCAACCGGGGAGGGUCAUUGGAAACUGGGAGACUUGAGUGCAGAAGAGGAGAGUGGAAUUCCAUGUGUAGCGGUGAAAUGCGUAGAUAUAUGGAGGAACACCAGUGGCGAAGGCGGCUCUCUGGUCUGUAACUGACGCUGAGGCUCGAAAGCGUGGGGAGCAAACAGGAUUAGAUACCCUGGUAGUCCACGCCGUAAACGAUGAGUGCUAAGUGUUGGAGGGUUUCCGCCCUUCAGUGCUGCAGCUAACGCAUUAAGCACUCCGCCUGGGGAGUACGACCGCAAGGUUGAAACUCAAAGGAAUUGACGGGGGCCCGCACAAGCGGUGGAGCAUGUGGUUUAAUUCGAAGCAACGCGAAGAACCUUACCAGGUCUUGACAUCCUUUGACCACUCUAGAGAUAGAGCUUCCCCUUCGGGGGCAAAGUGACAGGUGGUGCAUGGUUGUCGUCAGCUCGUGUCGUGAGAUGUUGGGUUAAGUCCCGCAACGAGCGCAACCCUUAUUGUUAGUUGCCAUCAUUCAGUUGGGCACUCUAGCAAGACUGCCGGUGACAAACCGGAGGAAGGUGGGGAUGACGUCAAAUCAUCAUGCCCCUUAUGACCUGGGCUACACACGUGCUACAAUGGGAAGUACAACGAGUCGCGAAGUCGCGAGGCUAAGCUAAUCUCUUAAAGCUUCUCUCAGUUCGGAUUGCAGGCUGCAACUCGCCUGCAUGAAGCCGGAAUCGCUAGUAAUCGCGGAUCAGCACGCCGCGGUGAAUACGUUCCCGGGCCUUGUACACACCGCCCGUCACACCACGAGAGUUUGUAACACCCGAAGUCGGUGAGGUAACCUUUUGGAGCCAGCCGCCUAAGGUGGGAUAGAUGAUUGGGGUGAAGUCGUAACAAGGUAGCCGUAUCGGAAGGUGCGGCUGGAUCACC